This is a long non-coding RNA of Ipomoea triloba (trilobed morning glory), 421 nucleotides long. RefSeq lists it as uncharacterized. The record is from RefSeq and is a predicted model, not a curated record. Lineage: Eukaryota; Viridiplantae; Streptophyta; Magnoliopsida; Solanales; Convolvulaceae. The transcript has 3 exons.
UCCCUAAAAUUCUUAAUAUAAGCUUGUAUUGACUAUUUCGGUGAUGGAUGUAUGUGUGUGUGUUAGGGAUUUGUAGGCUGUAAUGAGUAUAUGUCAAGAACCAAAGUUGUGUCAAAGAAUAGACAAAUGAAGGCUCCAGAUCCGCAUAUAAUUCCUUCACAUGAAAGUUGUUGUGGAAAUAUAUCCCUUCAACUAUUCUUAAAAUGUUACUGCAUAUGAACUUGGAGGCGUUGCUUUGUGAGCAGUGGACAUUGCGCCUCCACCAUAGCGAUUAUUUAUUCAAGACAGGCGUUUGCUUUGUGAGCAGUGGACAUUGCUGCAGAGAUGGUGUAGGAGGACGACUUGUAGUUGAUGUAAAGUUAUUUUUUUUUUUGAAUUGUUAACUUGUAUUGAGUAAUUUGAGUGGUAUAAACUUUGAAGU